This 1426-nucleotide ribosomal RNA is filed under the name Chitinophaga sp. Its description in RNAcentral is "bacterial SSU rRNA". It matches the Rfam family "Bacterial small subunit ribosomal RNA". Lineage: Bacteria; Pseudomonadati; Bacteroidota; Chitinophagia; Chitinophagales; Chitinophagaceae. The record is from RNAcentral.
GCAUUCGGCAGUCUAUACAUGCAGUCGAGGGGCAGCACAGGUAGCAAUACUGGGUGGCGACCGGCAAACGGGUGCGGAACACGUACGCAACCUUCCUUCUCGCGGGGAAUAUCCCCCAGAAAUUUGGAUUAAUACCCCCUAAAAAUGUGGUCAGGCAUCUGACAGCAUUUAAAGAUUUAUCACUUGAAGAUGGGCGUGCGUCUGAUUAUGUAGUUGGUGAGGUAACGGCUCACCAAGCCGACAAUCACUAACUGGGGUGAGAGCGCGACCAGUCACACGGGCACUGAGACACGGGCCCGACUCCUACGGGAGGCAGCAGUAAGGAAUAUUGGUCAAUGGACGCAAGUCUGAACCACCCAUGCCGCGUGGAGGAUGAAAGUCCUCUGGAUUGUAAACUUCUUUUAUUUGGGACAAAACACUUUCUUUCUAUAGAGCUUGACGGUACCAGAUGAAUAAACACCGGCUAACUCCGUGCCACCACCCGCGGUAAUACGGAGGGUGCAAGCGUUAUCCGGAUUCACUGGGUUUAAAGGGUGCGUAUGCGGACUUGUAAGUCCGUGGUGAAAUCUCUGAGAUUAACUCGCAAACUGCCAUGGAUACUAUAAGUCUUGAAUGUUGUGGAGGUUAGCGGAAUAUGUCAUGUAUCGGUGAAAUGCUUAUAUAUGACAUAUAACACCGAUUGCGAAGGCAGCUGGCUACACAAUUAUUGACGCUGAGGCACGAAAGCGUGUGGAUCAAACAGGAUUAUAUACCCUGGGAGUCCACGCCCUAUACGAUGGAUACUCUACAUUUGCGAUACAUUGUAAGUGUCUGAGAGAAAGCAUUAUGUAUCCCACCUGUGAAGUACGACCGCAAGGUUGAGACUCACAGGAGUUGACAGGGGUCCGCACAAGCGGUGGAGCAUGUGGUUUAUUUCUAUGAUACGCGAGGAACCUUACCUGGGCUAUAAUGCGCAUUGACCGUGGGUGAGAGCUCACUUUGUAGCAAUACACAGUCUGUAAGUGCUGCAUGGCUGUCGUCAGCUCGUGCGCUGAGAUGUGGGUUAAGUCCCGCAACGAGACGCAACCCUAUACUAGUUGCCAGCACGUAAUGGUGGGAACUCUAUGAAACUGCCGCUCGUAGACGCAAGAGGAGGGAUUAUUGUCCAGUCAUUCAUGGCCUUUAUGCCCAGGGCUACACACGUGCUACAAUGGUAGAGACAAAGGGCUGCUACUUGGUAACAAGCUGCUAAUCUCAAAAACUCUAUCUCAGUUCGGAUUGAGGUCUGCAACUCGACCUCAUGAAGCUGGAAUCGCUAGUAAUCGUAUAUCAGCAAUGAUACGGUGAAUACGUUCCCGGACCUUGUACACACCGCCCGUCAAGCCAUGAAAGUCGGGGGGACCUGAAGUCGGCAACCGCAAGAACCGCCUAGGGUAAAAUUUAGUUG